GGACUUUGCAAGCGUUGAUCGGAAUUACUGGGCGUAAAGCGCACGCUUGCGGUUGCAUUUUUUAGAUGUGAAAGCCCCGGGCUCAACCUGGGAAUUGCAUUUAAAACUGUCCAGCUAGUUUCUUGAAGAGGGGGGUAGAAUUCCAGGUGUAGCGGUGAAAUGCGUAGAGAUCUGGAGGAAUACCGGUGGCGAAGGCGGCCCCCUGGACAAAGACUGACGCUCAGGUGCGAAAGCGUGGGGAGCAAACAGGAUUAGAUACCCUGGUAGUCCACGCCGUAAACGAUGUCGAUUUGGAGGCUGUGUCCUUGAGACGUGGCUUCCGGAGCUAACGCGUUAAAUCGACCGUCUGGGGAGUACGGCCGCAAGGUUA
Molecule: ribosomal RNA, 370 nt
Filed under: uncultured bacterium
Lineage: Bacteria
Description: bacterial SSU rRNA
Rfam family: Bacterial small subunit ribosomal RNA
Source: RNAcentral